CUGCAGUGAUGACUUCUUAGGACACCUUUGGAUUCUACAUGAAAACAAACUUGUGAAGUCUGAGCAGC
This 68-nucleotide small nucleolar RNA is filed under the name Mastacembelus armatus (zig-zag eel). RNAcentral describes it as "Small nucleolar RNA SNORD58 (ENSMAMG00000012498.2)". It matches the Rfam family "Small nucleolar RNA SNORD58". From Rfam's summary of the family: snoRNA U58 is found in introns 1, 3 and 6 of the ribosomal protein RPL17 gene in humans. Lineage: Eukaryota; Metazoa; Chordata; Actinopteri; Synbranchiformes; Mastacembelidae. The record is from Rfam by way of RNAcentral.